This 107-nucleotide small nucleolar RNA is filed under the name Eucalyptus grandis. Its description in RNAcentral is "Plant small nucleolar RNA R71". It matches the Rfam family "Plant small nucleolar RNA R71". Rfam says of the family: R71 is a member of the C/D box family of snoRNAs containing the C (UGAUGA) and D (CUGA) box motifs. Multiple nearly identical copies of this snoRNA have been identified in Arabidopsis, and it is thought to function as a 2'-O-ribose methylation guide for 18S ribosomal RNA. Lineage: Eukaryota; Viridiplantae; Streptophyta; Magnoliopsida; Myrtales; Myrtaceae. The record is from Rfam by way of RNAcentral.
AUUCCAUGAUAUAGGCAUCUCUUGAGAAACUCCUAGAAUCUUUCCAAUGCUUCAAACAAUGAUUCAUCAUUCAUUUGCAUAAAAUUAGUAAUAUCGUCACGCAUUUU